Molecule: unclassified non-coding RNA, 336 nt
Filed under: soil metagenome
Description: partial contains 5.8S ribosomal RNA, internal transcribed spacer 2, and large subunit ribosomal RNA
Rfam family: 5.8S ribosomal RNA (bases 1-120)
Source: RNAcentral
GAUGAAGAACGUAGCGAAAUGCGAUAAGUAAUGUGAAUUGCAGAAUUCAGUGAAUCAUCGAAUCUUUGAACGCACAUUGCGCCCGCCAGUAUUCUGGCGGGCAUGCCUGUUCGAGCGUCGUUUCAACCAUCAAGCCCCAGGCUUGUGUUGGGGACCUGCGGCUGCCGCAGGCCCUGAAAACCAGUGGCGGGCUCGCUGUCACACCGGGCGUAGUAGAUUUUAUCUCGCUCAGGGCGUGCUGCGGGUUCCGGCCGUUAAAAAGCCUUUUUUACCCAAGGUUGACCUCGGAUCAGGUAGGAAGACCCGCUGAACUUAAGCAUAUCAAUAAGCGGAGGA